CAGUAGCCGCGGUAAUACGAAGGGUGCAAGCGUUACUCGGAAUUACUGGGCGUAAAGCGUGCGUAGGUGGUGGUUUAAGUCCGUUGUGAAAGCCCUGGGCUCAACCUGGGAAUUGCAGUGGAUACUGGGUCACUAGAGUGUGGUAGAGGAUAGUGGAAUUUCCGGUGUAGCAGUGAAAUGCGUAGAGAUCGGAAGGAACAUCUGUGGCGAAGGCGACUAUCUGGACUGAUACUGACACUGAGGUGCGAAAGCGUGGGGAGCAAACAGGAUUAGAUACCCCCGUAGUCCCUGUCUCUUAUAC
RNAcentral lists this ribosomal RNA (301 nucleotides) under uncultured bacterium. RNAcentral describes it as "partial 16S ribosomal RNA". It matches the Rfam family "Bacterial small subunit ribosomal RNA", at positions 509 to 807 of the family's 1533-position model. The record is from RNAcentral.